This 56-nucleotide transfer RNA is filed under the name Deltaproteobacteria bacterium. RNAcentral's name for it is "tRNA-Gly". It matches the Rfam family "tRNA", at positions 9 to 64 of the family's 71-position model. Rfam says of the family: Transfer RNA (tRNA) molecules are approximately 80 nucleotides in length. Lineage: Bacteria; Pseudomonadati; Myxococcota; Myxococcia. The record is from RNAcentral.
AAUUCAGUGGUAGAAUGGAAGCUUCCCAAGCUUCAUACGAGGGUUCGAUUCCCUUC